ACCAAUUUUUCUAUGCAUCUGCACAUGGGAUAGUCAUCUUGCACUCUCCAUUUGAUAUAGUUCAUUUUCUUUAGUACCACAACACCAUCAAAUCUUCUGUCAAGGAAAAGAAUGUCGCUAAGAAAUUAUAUAAGGCAUUUCACACUCGCUUUUCGCAAGGAAGAGAAUACCUGGAGAGGAAGGGAAUCAUCAUAGGUUGUAUUUUAAGUAAAGAUUUGAAUGCCAAUGAAUUGAGCAAUAUAUAAAAAUAUCAACCUACGAGCUAAUGCAACCUAAUAAAAAAAAUACUAUUGAGCAACUAUAGAGUUUUAGGUUAGGUAGUAUACAUUGAACAUCUAUCUUUUCAAUUUUCUCAUCCCGUUAAAUUACAAUCUUUAUCUGUUAUACAUCAAUAAUGAGAUGUUUGAUUGUUAUGUUCGAUAUUCAAACGGUCAUGUGAGAUUCGUUUUUUAUUACUGCAUAAGUUCAACUGUUCCUACUUGAUUUUUCAAAAUUCUCGAGUAUUUGGUGUAAUAUGAGAUUCAUAUGAAAGGUAUUUUCUUCUAUUGUAUGAAAGAAACUCAUAUGAGAAUCUUUUGAGUACUUAAAGUAAUAUGAAAUUCAUCUUAAAGAUGUGCUUUGUGAUAUCAUGUAUUCGUAUCCAAGAUUUGAUGCUUCAUCUGCUUCUUUAGUUUAGUAAGAAUUAUUUCAUGCUAUUGCAUGAAACAUUUGACUGGUCUCCUACUGCUCUACGCUAGCUCGAAAGGUAUGGCUACUCUCUUCUUUCCUGCUGAACAUCAUCAAGAAUUUCCCCCUUCUUCUGCUUCACCCGGAAGAUUCUCAAUACAGGCUUAACAACCAUCCCUGCUUACAUUUUAAGAAAAGUUUAAUAGUGACCGUCAAGCUUCACUAAUAGAUAUGGUUCUCCUAUAAGGAGCAUGCUUGCCCUAUGUUUAUUGGUGUGCUAAGUCAUGUAACUUAAUGUUGAAACUUAGCGUACAAGAUAUAGCUUAAAUCUCAUAAAUUUAAUAGGCAGAGCAUAUUAGUCACUUGAUAUAAUUCAACGUUCCUGAAUCAAUUUUAUAUUUCUCAGUGAUUAUUUUUUAUACAGAUGACUUCAAGCUAACAUGAUUACUGAUUUCUCUCUAGGUUGAUGAUAAUCCUUCUUUGACAAAUGCUUCCAAGAUGUAGCAUCUAUUAUUGCGAGAGUUGGUCUUGGGGCUCACUGCAUUAGCAUAGGAAGUGUCCGACAUGUUUGAGCAAGCUGUUGGCAGAAAAUACACUGCGAGGAUAUUACUAACAUUGAAGAGUUCUCUCGCCAUUUUGGAGCUGUUGAUUUGAGGUAAAAAGAUGGACAGAAAAGGUGCUUAUGGCUGAAAUGAGAUAGGUUACUAUUAAAAAAAAUUACAGCCUACAAAUUUCUAUGUCUAUUAAUUAGUUUAGAAUUGUAUCUAUGUCUCAGGAUACCUGAUAAAGAGAGAACACUAACAGAGGCUUGAGCACUUACCAUCUGAUCUGAUCCUACUAAGCAAAAGUAAUCACUUGGAAUAUUUAGAACUGGCAAGAAGAAGACGCACUUCUUAUUCUCAUAUUUACGCGUGACAUUGUUACUCAACAAGAAAUACUUGAAAAUUGUAGUUAAUAGAUGGUGCUAUCAUAUUAGAAAGUAUUUGUUUUGUAAUCUAUAGCAAGAAAAUCAUCUGAGUUCAGUAAGUAAGGGGGAUUUGCCAAAGUGUCCUCUCUUUUAUGUAAGGCAUCAUUUUUCUUCCUGAUUUUACAGAUGAACUUACAAAAGGGAAGAGAUUUUCAGUUCUUGGUUUCCAUGGAGAACUUUUCCAUCAUAAUUUAAUUUUGACUAUGCCUAUUUAAGCUUCUUCUAGAAUUGCUAUGUUUUAUUUUCAAAUUGGAUUUUAACAUGCAUGAUUCCAAAAAAAAAUAAUGUGCAG
RNAcentral lists this long non-coding RNA (1925 nucleotides) under Solanum tuberosum (potato). RNAcentral describes it as "long non-coding RNA (STUB_LNC001303)". The record is from RNAcentral. Lineage: Eukaryota; Viridiplantae; Streptophyta; Magnoliopsida; Solanales; Solanaceae.